RNAcentral lists this ribosomal RNA (253 nucleotides) under uncultured bacterium. RNAcentral's name for it is "partial 16S ribosomal RNA". It matches the Rfam family "Bacterial small subunit ribosomal RNA", at positions 524 to 776 of the family's 1533-position model. The record is from RNAcentral.
UACGAAGGGGGCUAGCGUUGCUCGGAAUUACUGGGCGUAAAGGGUGCGUAGGCGGGUCUUUAAGUCAGAGGUGAAAUCCUGGAGCUCAACUCCAGAACUGCCUUUGAUACUGAGGAUCUUGAGUUCGGGAGAGGUGAGUGGAACUGCGAGUGUAGAGGUGAAAUUCGUAGAUAUUCGCAAGAACACCAGUGGCGAAGGCGGCUCACUGGCCCGAUACUGACGCUGAGGCACGAAAGCGUGGGGAUCAAACAGG